UUAUUUUUCUUGUAUAUAUAUACACAUAAAACAGUGGUUCGUUUACUUCAUUUGGCAACUGAGUUGAAUAGCAGAGCGUGUGGACUCCGGUGAUUCGUGAUUGUUUCAAUCGAGGAGUUGAACCUGUAUAAAGCCGAACUCUGAAGGGUUGAACCUACACCGAAAAUGUGGAACAUCACUAUGAGAGCUUUUGGAGAGGGGCUGGAACUAGAACAAAAGGAGAUAGAAUCUCAUGUCUACCAUGUUCUCUUUUUGGUAUUGUUUUUAUGGUUUUUUGUUCUCGUUCUUGUGCGUCUGUGGAUUGAUGGUCAGUUUAUAGAGGACCUUGAGGACGAGAAUCAUGUGGAAUGAGGCUGCUGAGAUGGAGAAGAAGAAAGUCAUUGGUGAAAAGGCAAAAUGGCUUGUUUUGGGUCCUGAAUAUAUUUUUUGUUCAUUUCAUGAAAGUUUGCUACUCAGUUGAAAAUAAAGAAUCCUGUAUACUGAUGUAAAUAAAGAAUACUACUACUCUGAUAUUUGGAACGUGAUAAUGUAGAUGUUUUCAAUUUUGUGCAUGUUUCAUGUAUUUUCUGCUUCUGCUUGGCUACCCAGAAACC
Long non-coding RNA from Vitis vinifera (wine grape), 593 nucleotides. RefSeq lists it as uncharacterized. Lineage: Eukaryota; Viridiplantae; Streptophyta; Magnoliopsida; Vitales; Vitaceae. The transcript has 4 exons. The record is from RefSeq and is a predicted model, not a curated record.